RNAcentral lists this ribosomal RNA (492 nucleotides) under uncultured bacterium. Its description in RNAcentral is "partial 16S ribosomal RNA". It matches the Rfam family "Bacterial small subunit ribosomal RNA", at positions 29 to 507 of the family's 1533-position model. The record is from RNAcentral.
AGUGAACGCUGGCGGUAGGCCUAACACAUGCAAGUCGAACGGCAGCACAGUAAGAGCUUGCUCUUACGGGUGGCGAGUGGCGGACGGGUGAGGAAUACAUCGGAAUCUACUUUUUCGUGGGGGAUAACGUAGGGAAACUUACGCUAAUACCGCAUACGACCUACGGGUGAAAGCAGGGGAUCUUCGGACCUUGCGCGAUUGAAUGAGCCGAUGUCGGAUUAGCUAGUUGGCGGGGUAAAGGCCCACCAAGGCGACGAUCCGUAGCUGGUCUGAGAGGAUGAUCAGCCACACUGGAACUGAGACACGGUCCAGACUACUACGGGGGGCAGCAGUGGGGAAUAUUGGACAAUGGGCGCAAGCCUGAUCCAGCCAUACCGCGUGGGUGAAGAAGGCCUUCGGGUUGUAAAGCCCUUUUGUUGGGAAAGAAAAGCAGCAGGUUAAUACCCCGCUGUUCUGACGGUACCCAAAGAAUAAGCACCGGCUAACUUCGUG